UGGCUCAGAGCGAACGCUGGCGGCAGGCCUAACACAUGCAAGUCGAGCGCCCAGCAAUGGGAGCGGCAGACGGGUGAGUAACACGUGGGGAUCUACCCAAUGGUACGGAAUAACCCAGGGAAACUUGGAUUAAUACCGUAUGUGCCCUUCGGGGGAAAGAUUUAUCGCCAUUGGAUGAACCCGCGUCGGAUUAGCUAGUUGGUGAGGUAAAGGCUCACCAAGGCGACGAUCCGUAGCUGGUCUGAGAGGAUGAUCAGCCACACUGGGACUGAGACACGGCCCAGACUCCUACGGGAGGCAGCAGUGGGGAAUAUUGGACAAUGGGCGCAAGCCUGAUCCAGCCAUGCCGCGUGUGUGAUGAAGGCCUUAGGGUUGUAAAGCAC
This 383-nucleotide ribosomal RNA is filed under the name Xanthobacter sp. RNAcentral describes it as "bacterial SSU rRNA". It matches the Rfam family "Bacterial small subunit ribosomal RNA", at positions 20 to 433 of the family's 1533-position model. Lineage: Bacteria; Pseudomonadati; Pseudomonadota; Alphaproteobacteria; Hyphomicrobiales; Xanthobacteraceae. The record is from RNAcentral.